AUGGUCCCUGGGACUCCUGGCUUAUUUGAGAUGUGUGAUUGUGAAGGCAGUGACCUGGCUUCUUGGGUCCCACCAGAGAAGGAGGAAGUGAUUGUGAAUGUUCUGGGGUUAGGGUCUGAAAGAGCAUACGUGGUUUUGGGGGCUCCCUCUAUUCCUUCCUUUCCUGUUUCCCCAUUUGCUCCCCAGGCCCCACUUGGGACACUAGGCCUGCCAUGGUCUCCCAGAGAGAUUCCCCACGUAGGAGUAAGAGAAUGCCUGCUGGCCAAAUGUGUGAGUGUGUGCAGGUCUGUGAGCCUGCUUGCGUGCGUGUGUGCGGGUGCAGGCCUGCACUUGUUCCUGGGCACAUCUGAGUACAUGCCCGUGGCAGGAGGGAGACUGAAGGACUGGGAGGUAUGUGAUUGAGGAAGGCCAUCAGCAGAGGGAAGAGAAGCUUGUUGGAAAUCACCGGGCCAUUAUAACCGACAUCAACAGCUGCCUCUCGAAUUGGGAAGGAAAUAGAUACAAGCUCGAGAGGAUGGUCAGACUGAAAGAUUCCAGUGUGUCUGCGUGAGCAAGCGUCACUUCAUAAAAGACCUACUUGGGCCAAGCAGCCUCCUUAUGGUAAUUGUCUUUCUCUGGCCAUUAGUGAUGGGGAGUGCAGGACCUUGGUUGAGGCCAAAGAUCAGGGGUCAGAAGCAAAGGGGAAGGAUGCGACUAGCUGAGUAAAACUGUGGGCUCCUCUGCCUUUGGGGAGGGCUCACACGGUUGCUUUUUUUUUUUUGGAGACAGAGUCUCACUUUGUGGCCCAGCCUGGAAUGCAAUGGUGUGAUCUCAGCUCCUGCACACUCCACCUCCGAGUUCCAGCAGUUUUCCUGCCUCAGCCUCCCGGGUAGCUGGGAUUACAGGCACGCGCCACCACACCCAGCUAAUUUUUGUGUUUUUAGUAAAGACGGGCUUUCACCAUGUUGGCCAGGCUGGUCUCCAACCCUUGACCUCAAGUGAUCCGCCCGCCUUGGCCUCCCAAACGGUUGCUGACUUUUAAAGACAGAAAAGAAGGGAGGAACCAGGAAAAGCAAACCUUAAAUUUUCUAAAUUUUCUAACAAUCUUGUAUUUAAACGAUGCUUAGUGUAUACAGGACACCAAGCUGUCGUUCCUGGGGAGGAGGAGUCUAAAAGGCCCUGCAAAUGGUCCUGCCUGGUAGAGAGAGGAACUUCAGUAAAUGUUUGUUGAUUGACUGAAAGUAGGCAGAGAGUUUCAGCAGGUCCUGGAAGAGUGUUCAGGGCAACUCAGUUGGAUUGAGGGGGCCACAGGCAUUUUCUGUUUCCUAUACUCCCAUUCUGCAGUGAGGGGACAAUGGUGGGCAUGUGUAUAUAUAUAUAUAUAUAUAUAUAUAUGAUAAAUGCACACACACGAAGUCUCUCCUUGGCAAACAUAGAGGUAAGUGGAAUUGCUUAUUCAUUUACAAUUCUCUGAGCCAAACCUUGGGUUCCUUUGGGAGAAGCUGUUUGACUAACAAAGGGAAGGGGGCUGGAAGUGACUGGGCGUCCUCUUCCUGGCCCCACAUUGACCCUGUUCCAGUGGCGUGAGAUGGCCACAGGACCCUGACUGAGCCUGACUGAGGGUUGGGGAGCCCACACUGCGGGUGGGUGCUGCCACCUGGGUGCCACUCUCUCUUGUCAGAUGCCGGCCGACAGCCUGCCUGUCCAGGCCAUCUUCAAUGGCCCCAUCAUGCCAUUCUCCCUGUGAUAAUUUUUAACUAGUGAAGAAUUUUGCUAAGCCUCUCAUUUGGGCUUUAAAAAAAUGCCAUUGAUUAUUUGCACAUGAACUCAGAGAGUAAUCAAGGUAAGAAUAGGAUGAAAGAACCAGGCAUCCACAGAAGCCACUGAUGGGAGGAUCUCCCCCUCCCUUUCCUGAGCUUUCUUGGGCAGGGUGGAGAUGGCCCCAUACAACCUAGACUGGAUUUCGGGUAUCACAACCCUCCUGCUGGGGUUCAGGAUGUGCCUGCCCUUUGGGGGCUUUUGUGCGUGGGACUCAGAGCUCUGAUGAAGUGGCUGUGCCCUUGAGGUGAAAGGCAGACAGAGGGCAGAGGAGCCCUAACCAGCUGCUUGUCACUGGGAAGCAGUUGUGAGCAGGGGUGCUUGCUGGAAGCUCCAGCACUUGGCUGGCCAUUGUCCAGGAAGAAUGAUUCCUUCUGUUGGAUGCAGGGGUGGGAAGGAAGUAUCUGCCUGGGAGUCAGGAAAACAAGGCUGUGGUGUCUGCCUGGUCUAGGUCACUUGCCUUCUGUCUGCCUCAGUUUCCUCUUCUGUCAAAUAAGUGGUUUGGACCAAGUGGGUAUCCUAGUAAACAGCCUCAGGAGAGCUAGCAGGACUAGGCAAGGUAAGGUAUGGAUGGGCAGCUUACAAAGCUGGGCUCUUUCAGUGUGGACCAGCUCAGUCUUUGGGUCCCUCGAUAAGCUCUGGCUAUAUGACCUUGGGAAGCCACUUAACCUCUAUAAGCCUCGAUUUUUCACUUUGUGAAGGGGGUUACAUGACAUUUGCUUUGAAGAGUUGGGGGUAUUGAAUGAGCUAAUUCACAUGAAGUGCCUAGAGUAGGGCCUGGUAUAGAAUAGAGCAGGCUUUUACAAAACAGAUUCCCUUUAGCCGGGCACGCAGUGGCUCAUGCCUAUACUCCCAGAACUUUGGGAGGCCGAGGCGGGUGGAUCACCUAAGGUCAGGAGUUUGAGACCAGCCUGACCAAUAUGGAUGGAGAAACCUUAUCUCUACCAAAAAUACAAAAUUAGCCAGGCUUGGUGGUGUGAAUCUAAUCUCAGCUACUCAGGAGGCUGAGGCAGGAGAAUCGCUUGAACCCAGGAGGCGGAAGUUGUGGUGAGCUGAGAUUGCGCCAUUGCCUGGGCGACAAGAGUGAAACUGUCUCAGAAAAAAAACAAAAUAAAAUAAAUUCCCUUUUAAUUUCCUUUUUCCUCCUGUCCUCUCUGCCUGUGCUCACAUUCUUCUCAUUCCAUUGCUGAACCAAAUUUGAGAAUUGGAAAGCCGUGUAAGGAGACUGUAGUUUGAUUCCCCGUGUAAGCGUGACGACUGCAGGACAUUCUAACAUUCUACUCCUGGCUCCAGUGGGGUUUGCUAUCAGUCACAGCCACUUCAUGAAGGUUUGUAUUGUUCGAAAGCUCAUUCUGGAAGACACUGUUCAUUAAAGAAAACGUCCCUUUGAUAUGGAUAUAUACAAUCCUAGAUCAUAGUACAGGAAAAAUAGUCUUGCUUGAUGUUAGGCACGACGGAACAGAUCUUAUUUUCCCUUUGUGCUGUGGUUGCCAGAAAACACAGUUAAGUUUGUGCUCAAGAGCUGUGAUGUCUGACAUGCUUGUACUGCCCAGUCUCCUUUUAUAAAUCUCUCAAGGGAAGCUUCUCUGGCUCCUCAAGGCUGAGGAAGAGACCACCUUUAAUGCCCCUGGAUGACCCAUGCCCACGUCCAUCUGAACUCUCAGGCUGAUGGCCUUAUUUCCUUUUUCUCAACACACACAUACACAUACACACAGAAUUUAAGUUCCUUAAGCCAUGGAGUGUGUCAUUCUGCCCAGUACACCCAGCACAAAACACAUGGUAUCUGAAACUUUGGAUCUACUCCAUGAAUAUUCAUUGAAUAAAGAGAUAAAUGAAUGAACAAAUGGUUAAAAAAAGCGCUUAGUUCAGGUUUCAGGUCUAAUUAUCCUUCCCAUUCUACUCUAUGGGUUUUGAUCUUUGACGCCUGAUCUUUUGCAAUGAUUGAACACUUUUGAUUAGAAACAUAACUUCAGGC
This is a long non-coding RNA of Callithrix jacchus (white-tufted-ear marmoset), 3772 nucleotides long. The record is from Ensembl. NCBI's taxonomy places the organism in Eukaryota, Metazoa, Chordata, Mammalia, Primates, Cebidae.